This 347-nucleotide unclassified non-coding RNA is filed under the name uncultured Inocybaceae. Its description in RNAcentral is "sequence contains ITS1". The stretch from base 1 to 105 matches the Rfam family "5.8S ribosomal RNA", at positions 50 to 154 of the family's 154-position model. The record is from RNAcentral. Lineage: Eukaryota; Fungi; Basidiomycota; Agaricomycetes; Agaricales.
GAAAUGCGAUAAGUAAUGUGAAUUGCAGAAUUCAGUGAAUCAUCAAAUCUUUGAACGCAUCUUGCGCUCCUUGGUAUUCCGAGGAGCAUGCCUGUUUGAGUGUCAUUCAACUUCUCAACCACAUGCCUAAUGUGGCUUGGACAUGAAGGGAUUAUUUUUUGCAGGCUUCAAAAAGAGGUCGGCUCCCCUGAAAUGCAGUAGUGGUAUCUGUGCCUUACUACUAUUGGGUGUGAUAAAUUAUCUAUGCCCUUUGGUAUGCUGCAUGAACCAGAUUGCGCUGCUUCUAAAGAAAAAGUAACCUUGAUAAAUUUGACCUCAAAUCAGGUAUGACUACCCACUGAACUUAA